Long non-coding RNA from Sorex araneus (European shrew), 902 nucleotides. RefSeq lists it as uncharacterized. The transcript has 3 exons. The record is from RefSeq and is a predicted model, not a curated record. NCBI's taxonomy places the organism in Eukaryota, Metazoa, Chordata, Mammalia, Eulipotyphla, Soricidae.
GUUUCUGUCGCUGCUAGAGAUGAGAUAGGAAAGAGGAGGGCUAAGAGCUCCGAAUUCAAGAAAUAGGAUGUUGGAGUUUAACCCCCACCCCUCCACGCUGAGGGGUUGUUCAAACCUCACUCUCACCCCUCUCACUCAUUUUCCACCCAGAACAGAGGUGGCGGGUUGCUGGGUGCCUCACUCACCGGGUGUCAGUGCCUCGGGUAUUGGUGAAGAAUGCUGGAAGGAGAAAAGCUCAGGGCUCACGUUGCAUCCAGCCAUGAACAAGACCUCAUUGGACUGGACAUCGCCUGGGUACAAGUGGAACCAGAGUUCAGCUAAGAAACAGCUCGGUUCUCCCAAAUCCACACCCCCUUCCCUGAGCCCAGAUGGGAGCAGGGCCUUUGGAGGAACUAUUCGUGAUCUCAGUCUGUUCUCAGUCAGAUGCUCCACGGGGAGGGAGGGGACUUGAGGGACGCUUCCACCCGCAAGGCCCUCCCCAGCCCAGGCGGACAGCUGACCUGGACGACAGGUUGGGCUGUUGGCUACUUGGCAGGAAAGGGGCCGGGGAGGCCUAAGAAACCCCAGGUAUGGGCUGGGGGAGGGAAUGGAGUAGGGGAGGAAGGACGGAAGGAGGGGAGCUCUCCUGUGCUGGGAGCGUCCGCAGCUGCGGGGUUGCCAGGAGAUUAGCAGUUCUAGAACCAAGGGGGGGCGGGGGGGCGUAAAGGGAGCGUUUCCUCAAUGUGCCUGCCUCAUCUGCUCCUCAGGCCACUCAUCCACCUGCUUCCAGGUUUUCACUUGGGGCACAAUCAAUCGGGCGCUGGCCCAAUCCUCCGGCCACUAGGGGGCGCGCGCGAGGCAGCCUCGCCCGAGGCCGAGCUGCAGCCACUCUAGCCCGUCCCACGCCGCCGGAGCCAGCGAGA